Molecule: ribosomal RNA, 228 nt
Filed under: uncultured Chloroflexota bacterium
Lineage: Bacteria; Bacillati; Chloroflexota
Description: uncultured Chloroflexi bacterium partial 16S ribosomal RNA
Rfam family: Bacterial small subunit ribosomal RNA
Source: RNAcentral
CGAGGAAUCUUGGGCAAUGGGCGCAAGCCUGACCCAGCGACGCCGCGUGGGGGAAGAAGGCCUUCGGGUCGUAAACCCCUUUUGCCGGGGAAGAAGUCCUGACGGUACCCGGCGAAUAAGCCACGGCUAACUACGUGCCAGCAGCCGCGGUAAGACGUAGGUGGCGAGCGUUACCCGGAUUUACUGGGCGUAAAGGGCGUGUAGGCGGUCCGGUAAGUCCAGCGUGAA